Non-coding RNA from Pelobates cultripes (western spadefoot toad), 233 nucleotides. The record is from the annotation of a GenBank genome assembly. NCBI's taxonomy places the organism in Eukaryota, Metazoa, Chordata, Amphibia, Anura, Pelobatidae.
CCGCAGAUUAGUCAAGAGAAUCUACCUUUCGCACCUUUUAUUUUAAACCAACACCACAUGCGGCUUGUUCCUUUAUUCAAGAGCGUUAAAACAGCAAAUAUGAAGCCUCCUGUCUUGCCAUAAAAUUAGGGAUUAUUCUAGUUUACAGUGAACGAAUAAUCUAAAUUUUAUUAAAGACAGGAGGCGAAUAUUUUCCCUCCCUUCGUUCACUCUGGAACCCACCCUACAGGUAA